AUACGCAUCCUUUGCUGAGGAGACGGUUAACGGAGCGAAAGCGACGUUCAACCUCAAAAGAAGCAGAGGGGGCUUAGUGGUGGGGUGACUGCGUACCUUUUGUAUAAUGGGUCAGCGACUUAUAUUCUGUAGCAAGGUUAACUGUAUAGGGGAGCCGGAGGGAAACCGAGUCUUAACCGGGCGUUAAGUUGCAGGGUAUAGACCCGAAACCCGGUGAUCUAGCCAUGGGCAGGUUGAAGGUUGGGUAACACUAACUGGAGGACCGAACCGACUAAUGUUGAAAAAUUAGCGGAUGACCUGUGGCUGGGGGUGAAAGGCCAAUCAAACCGGGAGAUAGCUGGUUCUCCCCGAAAGCUAUUUAGGUAGCGCCUCGUGAAUUCAUCUCCGGGGGUAGAGCACUGUUUCGGCUAGGGGGCCAUCCCGGCUUACCAACCCGAUGCAAACUGCGAAUACCGGAGAAUGUUAUCACGGGAGACACACGGCGGGUGCUAAUGUCCGUCGUGAAGAGGGAAACAACCCAGACCGCCAGCUAAGGUCCCAAAGUCAUGGUUA
RNAcentral lists this ribosomal RNA (552 nucleotides) under Salmonella enterica subsp. enterica serovar Typhi str. CT18. RNAcentral's name for it is "partial 23S ribosomal RNA". The stretch from base 61 to 552 matches the Rfam family "Bacterial large subunit ribosomal RNA", at positions 568 to 1061 of the family's 2925-position model. The record is from RNAcentral. Lineage: Bacteria; Pseudomonadati; Pseudomonadota; Gammaproteobacteria; Enterobacterales; Enterobacteriaceae.